UCUGGUUGAUCCUGCCAGUAGUUAUAUGCUUGUCUCAAAGAUUAAGCCAUGCAUGUCUAAGUACACACGAAUUAAAAGUGAAACCGCAAAAGGCUCAUUAUAUCAGUUAUGGUUCCUUAGAUCGUUAACAGUUACUUGGAUAACUGUGGUAAUUCUAGAGCUAAUACAUGCAAUUAAAACACGGACCUUCUGGGACGUGUGCUUUUAUUAGACUAAAACAAAGCGAUCAAUUGAUCGUUAUAUUGGUUGAACUCUAGAUAACAUGCAGAUCGUAUGGUCUUGUACCGACGACAGAUCUUUCAAAUGUCUGCCCUAUCAACUUUUGAUGGUAGUAUCUAGGACUACCAUGGUUGCAACGGGUAGCGGGGAAUCAGGGUUCGAUUCCGGAGAGGGAGCCUGAGAAACGGCUACCACAUCUAAGGAAGGCAGCAGGCGCGUAAAUUACCCACUCCCAGCUCGGGGAGGUAGUGACGAAAAAUAACAAUACAGGACUCAUAUCCGAGGCCCUGUAAUUGGAAUGAGUAUACUUUUAAUCCUUUAACAAGGACCAAUUGGAGGGCAAGUCUGGUGCCAGCAGCCGCGGUAAUUCCAGCUCCAAUAGCGUAUAUUAAAGUUGUUGCGGUUAAAACGUUCGUAGUUGAACUUGUGCUUCAUACGGGUAGUACAACAUACAUUUGUAGUUAGUACUAUUGUAGUACUUGUACUUUUUUAUUUAUUCCUCCUAUUUAAAAACCUACAUUAGUGCUCUUAAUCGAGUGUUUUUGUGGGCCGGUACAAUUACUUUGAACGAUUUAGAGUGCUUAAAGCAGGCUUCAAAUGCCUGAAUAUUCUGUGCAUGGGAUAAUGAAAUAAGACCUCUGUUCUGCUUUCAUUGGUUUUCAGAUCAAGAGGUAAUGAUUAAUAGAAGCAGUUUGGGGGCAUUAGUAUUACGACGCGAGAGGUGAAAUUCUUGGACCGUCGUAAGACUAACUUAAGCGAAAGCAUUUGCCAAAGAUGUUUUCAUUAAUCAAGAACGAAAGUUAGAGGUACGAAGGCGAUCAGAUACCGCCCUAGUUCUAACCAUAAACGAUGCCAGCUAGCAAUUGGGUGUAGCUACUUUUAUGGCUCUCUCAGUCGCUUCCCGGGAAACCAAAGCUUUUGGGCUCCGGGGGAAGUAUGGUUGCAAAGCUGAAACUUAAAGGAAUUGACGGAAGGGCACCACCAGGAGUGGAGCCUGCGGCUUAAUUUGACUCAACACGGGAAAACUUACCAGGUCCGAACAUAAGUGUGUAAGACAACAUU
RNAcentral lists this ribosomal RNA (1281 nucleotides) under Drosophila willistoni. Its description in RNAcentral is "SSU rRNA". It matches the Rfam family "Eukaryotic small subunit ribosomal RNA", at positions 1 to 1250 of the family's 1831-position model. Lineage: Eukaryota; Metazoa; Arthropoda; Insecta; Diptera; Drosophilidae. The record is from RNAcentral.